RNAcentral lists this ribosomal RNA (256 nucleotides) under uncultured bacterium. RNAcentral's name for it is "partial 16S ribosomal RNA". It matches the Rfam family "Bacterial small subunit ribosomal RNA", at positions 524 to 776 of the family's 1533-position model. The record is from RNAcentral.
UACGAAGGGGGCAAGCGUUGUUCGGAAUUAUUGGGCGUAAAGGGAGCGUAGGCGGUUCGGCAAGUCUUUAGUGAAAUCUCUGGGCUCAACUCAGAGUCUGCUGGAGAAACUGCCGGGCUGGAGUAUGGGAGAGGUGAGUGGAAUUCCAUGUGGAGCGGUAAAAUGUGUAGAUAUAUGGAAGAACAUCAAUAACGGCGAAGGCAGUUAACUAGUCUGUUACUGACGUUGAGGCACGAAAGCGUGGGGAGCAAAAAGG